RNAcentral lists this ribosomal RNA (950 nucleotides) under uncultured archaeon. RNAcentral's name for it is "bacterial SSU rRNA". It matches the Rfam family "Archaeal small subunit ribosomal RNA", at positions 1 to 944 of the family's 1478-position model. The record is from RNAcentral.
UUUCCGGUUGAUCCCGCCGGACCUGACUGCUAUCGGAUUGAUACUAAGCCAUGCGAGUCAUUGUAGCAAUACAAGGCAGACGGCUCAGUAACGCGUAGUCAAUCUACCCUAUGGACGGGAAUAACCUCGGGAAACUGAGAAUAAUGCCCGAUAGAACAUUAUGCCUGGAAUGGUUUAUGUUUCAAAUGAUUUAUCGCCGUAGGAUGGGACUGCGGCCUAUCAGUUUGUUGGUGAGGUAAUGGCCCACCAAGACUAUUACAGGUACGGGCUCUGAGAGGAGUAGCCCGGAGAUGGGUACUGAGACACGGACCCAGGCCCUAUGGGGCGCAGCAGGCGAGAAAACUUUGCAAUGUGCGAAAGCACGACAAGGUUAAUCCGAGUGGUUUCUGCUAAAGAAACCUUUUGUCAGUCCUAGAAACACUAACGAAUAAGGGGUGGGCAAGUUCUGGUGUCAGCCGCCGCGGUAAAACCAGCACCUCAAGUGGUCAGGAUGAUUAUUGGGCCUAAAGCAUCCGUAGCUCGUUUUGUAAGUUUUCGGUUAAAUCCAUGCGCUUAACGUAUGGGCUGCCGGGAAUACUGCAUAACUAGGAAGUGGGAGAGGUAGACGGUACUCGGUAGGAAGGGGUAAAAUCCUUUGAUCUAUUGAUGACCACCUGUGGCGAAGGCGGUCUACCAGAACACGUUCGACGGUGAGGGAUGAAAGCUGGGGGAGCAAACCGGAUUAGAUACCCGGGUAGUCCCAGCUGUAAACUAUGCAAACUCAGUGAUGCAUUGGCUUAUGGCUAAUGCAGUGCUGCAGGGAAGCCGUUAAGUUUGCCGCCUGGGGAAGUACGUACGCAAGUAUGAAAACUUAAAAGGAAUUGGCGGGGGGAGCACCACAAGGGGGUUGAAGCCUUGCGGUUUCAAUUGGAGUUCAACGCCAGAAAAUCUUUACCCCGGGAGAGACAGCA